This 75-nucleotide transfer RNA is filed under the name Elusimicrobiota bacterium. Its description in RNAcentral is "Elusimicrobia bacterium tRNA-Val". It matches the Rfam family "tRNA". From Rfam's summary of the family: Transfer RNA (tRNA) molecules are approximately 80 nucleotides in length. Their secondary structure includes four short double-helical elements and three loops (D, anti-codon, and T loops). Further hydrogen bonds mediate the characteristic L-shaped molecular structure. tRNAs have two regions of fundamental functional importance: the anti-codon, which is responsible for specific mRNA codon recognition, and the 3' end, to which the tRNAs corresponding amino acid is attached (by aminoacyl-tRNA synthetases). tRNAs cope with the degeneracy of the genetic code in two manners: having more than one tRNA (with a specific anti-codon) for a particular amino acid; and 'wobble' base-pairing, i.e. permitting non-standard base-pairing at the 3rd anti-codon position. The record is from RNAcentral. Lineage: Bacteria; Pseudomonadati; Elusimicrobiota. RNAcentral also lists the same sequence under 6 other names.
GGGCAGUUGGCGCAGCGGUAGCGCGUCCGCCUCACACGCGGAAGGUCACAGGUUCAAAUCCUGUACUGCCCACCA